This 498-nucleotide ribosomal RNA is filed under the name uncultured bacterium. Its description in RNAcentral is "partial 16S ribosomal RNA". It matches the Rfam family "Bacterial small subunit ribosomal RNA", at positions 28 to 507 of the family's 1533-position model. The record is from RNAcentral.
GACGAACGCUGGCGGCGUGCCUAAUACAUGCAAGUCGAACGAGAGCGACCGGUGCUUGCACUGGUCAAUCUAGUGGCGAACGGGUGAGUAACACGUGGGUAACCUGCCCAUCAGAGGGGGAUAACAUCCGGAAACGGAUGCUAAAACCGCAUAGGUCUUCGAACCGCAUGGUUUGAAGAGGAAAAGAGGCGCAAGCUUCUGCUGAUGGAUGGACCCGCGGUGCAUUAGCUAGUUGGUGAGGUAACGGCUCACCAAGGCCGUGAUGCAUAGCCGACCUGAGAGGGUGAUCGGCCACAUUGGGACUGAGACACGGCCCAAACUCCUACGGGAGGCAGCAGUAGGGAAUCUUCCGCAAUGGACGCAAGUCUGACGGAGCAACGCCGCGUGAGUGAAGAAGGUUUUCGGAUCGUAAAACUCUGUUGUUAGAGAAGAACAAGUGCUAGGGUAACUGUUAGCGCCUUGACGGUAUCUAACCAGAAAGCCACGGCUAACUACGUG